RNAcentral lists this long non-coding RNA (1322 nucleotides) under Astyanax mexicanus (Mexican tetra). Its description in RNAcentral is "lncRNA (ENSAMXG00005000975.1)". Lineage: Eukaryota; Metazoa; Chordata; Actinopteri; Characiformes; Acestrorhamphidae. The record is from RNAcentral.
CUUUGAUUUAAAUAAAAUGCUCAAAUACUAUUUUAGUGUUUAGCUGAAAAUGAAUAAAAUCCAGAAUUGGCAAUUAUUUUUUUAAGAACUGAAACAGGAAGUGAGCUCUUACACAAAUGUAGUCCAACUUCAUUCAAUAGCGUUUCAUUCUCACAGUGCAUCAGAGUGGAGUCUGUGGGGGACUGAAGGAGUGGGUUCUACAGCUGUUCUCUAGACUAAAUGAAAAUGCUGCUGAUCUGUGGAGUUCUGUUGAUGUUCACAGGAUCUGCUGUGGGUCUGAUUACUGUAGGUCCUCAGUGCAGAUCUGAUCAGACUUGUGUGUUUUAUGAAGCUCUUGAACAUCCAAUGCACCUGCAGCUGCCUUCUGAGUCUGAAUUAACUCUAAAGAAGAUUGAUGAACGUGUUUCUCAGGUCAUUUUGAAAUGUAAAAAACAAAAGAUCCUAAUACACUUAAACUAUCCAAGAUGGCAGUUUGUUUCAGAACACAGAACCAUGAUAAUAACCAGAGCAGAGAAGAACGAUUCAGGAAGAUACAGAUUAGAGACCUUCGAUUCAGAAGGCACUAACAAAGGUGUUUAUGAUUUCCAUCUGACCAUAGAAGCUGUGGUGUCGUCAGUGGAAGUGAAAUACAGCUGCUUGUCCGGCUUAAACAGGCGUUUGUUCUGUUCGUCUGAUGGAGAUCAGAUCCUCAUUGAAUUGCAUCAGUGCCCUGGAUCAUCUUCAACUGUUGGGAUUUCUGCCACAGAAUCUCCAGUAUCUCCAGCAUUUCCAGAGAGCAAAUGCACAAACUGUGAUAGUGGGUUGAUGGUGUUCGUGUCGGUGUGGCUGUUUGAGGUCAUCAUCCUGGUCUCGCUGUUGGUCGGAGCGUUUUACAUCUACACCAGAAUCUACAGGAAGCAGAGAGCAGCUGAGAGUAAGAGCUGUGUGUUUAUUAUAGACUAUAUUAACUGUAGAUCUGACCAAUCAGAAUGUGACCAGCUCUAAUUAACCUGCUUUACACUCACUGGACAUUUUAUUGGAAACACCCACCUUCAGGAACUCGACCUAUUGGUCAGUUUCUGACCACUGGCAUGGAGGUGUUGAUGCUAGUGGAUGUGGUGCUGGCAUGAGUGGAUCAGGCCCAUUGGUCUUACUGUUUAGGCCCAGAGUUGGUCCACCAUCCCAUAAUAUCCAGAUAAGAGCAGCUCUUAGGUCAGGAAGUGACCAUUAGUGUAGAAUUACAGGGUGGUUAACACACUCUGUCCAUCAGCAGAUGAGCUCCGGUCUCUAACUGAACAUUAGCAAGGUGGGGCUUCCAACAGGGGAGGGGUUUCUGAUAAAAU